UUAUAGUAAGAGGAAAAUCCGUCGACUUUAGAAAUCGUGAGGGUUCAAGU
Molecule: transfer RNA, 50 nt
Filed under: Steudnera colocasiifolia
Lineage: Eukaryota; Viridiplantae; Streptophyta; Magnoliopsida; Alismatales; Araceae
Description: partial tRNA-Leu
Source: RNAcentral